RNAcentral lists this ribosomal RNA (275 nucleotides) under uncultured bacterium. Its description in RNAcentral is "partial 16S ribosomal RNA". It matches the Rfam family "Bacterial small subunit ribosomal RNA", at positions 399 to 691 of the family's 1533-position model. The record is from RNAcentral.
GCGUGAGUGAUGAAGGCCUUAGGGUUGUAAAGCUCUUUCACCGAUGAAGAUAAUGACGGUAGUCGGAGAAGAAGCCCCGGCUAACUUCGUGCCAGCAGCCGCGGUAAUACGAAGGGGGCUAGCGUUGUUCGGAAUUACUGGGCGUAAAGCGCACGUAGGCGGAUAUUUAAGUCAGGGGUGAAAUCCCGCAGCUCAACUGCGGAACUGCCUUUGAUACUGGGUAUCUUGAGUAUGGAAGAGGUAAGUGGAAUUCCGAGUGUAGAGGUGAAAUUCGU